RNAcentral lists this ribosomal RNA (624 nucleotides) under Asterocladon rhodochortonoides. RNAcentral describes it as "LSU rRNA". It matches the Rfam family "Eukaryotic large subunit ribosomal RNA", at positions 1 to 654 of the family's 3401-position model. Lineage: Eukaryota; Phaeophyceae; Asterocladales; Asterocladaceae. The record is from RNAcentral.
AACUUUCGUUCGGAUCUCCGAUCAAGCAAGAGGACCCGCUGAAUUUAAGCAUAUAACUAAGCGGAGGAAAAGAAACUAACCAGGAUUCCCCCAGUAACGGCGAGUGAAGCGGGAAGAGCUCACGUUGUAAAUCUGGCUUCGGCCCGAAUUGUAGUCUGGAGAGGCGUGACCAGCCGGAGGUGGGGGUGAAGUCUCUUGGAAAAGAGCAUCAAGGAGGGUGACAAUCCCGUUCUUGCCCCCGCUCGCCGCGCGUACGGUCCGUUUUCUACGAGUCGAGUUGCUUGGGAUUGCAGCUCAAAGCGGGUGGUAAAUUCCAUCUAAAGCUAAACACGGGUGGGAGACCGAUAGCGAACAAGUACCGUGAGGGAAAGAUGCAAAGAACUUUGAAAAGAGAGUUAAAGAGUGCCUGAAAUUGCUGAAAGGGAAGCGAAGGAAACCAGUGUCUGACGUUUAAGCUUCUCCUUUGCCCCUCGGGCGCUGGUCUGCUUUUCUGUCGUAGCCAGGGCCGGGUGUUGCCGCGGGAGCCUGCGCCUCGGAAGGUAGCUUAUCUUCGGAUAGUGAAUACCGUGGCGUGACGUCGCGGCGGCGGCCGGUCCUGACGAAAUGGUUUUCUUUACCCCGUCU